CGGGUGAGUAAUGUAUGGGGAUCUGCCUGAUGGCGGGGGAUAAUACUGGAAACGGUAGCUAAUACCGCAUAAUGUCUGCGGACCAAAGCGGGGGACCUCCGGGCCUCGCGCCAUCAGAUGAACCCAUAUGGGAUUAGCUAGUAGGUAAGGUAACGGCUUACCUAGGCGACGAUCCCUAGCUGGUCUGAGAGGAUGAUCAGCCACACUGGGACUGAGACACGGCCCAG
RNAcentral lists this ribosomal RNA (227 nucleotides) under uncultured bacterium. Its description in RNAcentral is "partial 16S ribosomal RNA". It matches the Rfam family "Bacterial small subunit ribosomal RNA", at positions 103 to 334 of the family's 1533-position model. The record is from RNAcentral.